RNAcentral lists this long non-coding RNA (410 nucleotides) under Canis lupus familiaris (dog). Its description in RNAcentral is "lncRNA (ENSCAFG00845002512.1)". Lineage: Eukaryota; Metazoa; Chordata; Mammalia; Carnivora; Canidae. The record is from RNAcentral.
UCCCGCCCCGGGUCACCUUGAUCGGCCAAUUCAAAUUUCCUCCAAAUACCACGCGGGAGGCGGCAGCAACCGAAACUCUAAACUGCCUCCGGUCCCUACCAGCAGGCGGGGGUUUCUUCCCUCCUUGGCUCGGCCGAGAAACUCAUAUUUUAUUCAUGAAAAUCUGAGGCCCUGGGAGGCCUCGGCCUAAACAGGAUGGUUCCUCCAUCCGCCUUGCUGAGACUUAGCACUGGCUUCCUGGCGCUUGCGAGGCGCGUGGCCAGCUCCCCAGCCUCACCUGCCCUUCCUGCACCUGGACACCCUUUGUCUCGGCUGCGCGGAGUUCCCGCCAUCCCCAGGCUGUACAGAAUCUUGCAGGGUAUCGAGGAUUUCCGAAGUUAUACCCUGCACCCCACAACCUCUGGCAAGAU